AAGGCUACACUUUUAGGGAUCAUUUCUAUAGUUUGCUUAUAGAAUAAGCAGUACCUGCAAAGGUCCCAGUGAGGACAAUGGUAAGUGCAGGUGCUGG
This 97-nucleotide small nucleolar RNA is filed under the name Moschus moschiferus (Siberian musk deer). RNAcentral's name for it is "Small nucleolar RNA U3 (ENSMMSG00000003369.1)". The record is from Rfam by way of RNAcentral. Lineage: Eukaryota; Metazoa; Chordata; Mammalia; Artiodactyla; Moschidae.